This 383-nucleotide unclassified non-coding RNA is filed under the name uncultured Pseudobdellovibrionaceae bacterium. Its description in RNAcentral is "uncultured Bdellovibrionaceae bacterium contains 16S-23S intergenic spacer region". Lineage: Bacteria; Pseudomonadati; Bdellovibrionota; Bdellovibrionia; Bdellovibrionales; Pseudobdellovibrionaceae. The record is from RNAcentral.
UCCGGUUUAUCACCGGCGGUCUCCCUAGAGUGCCCAACUAAAUGAUGGCAACUAGGAACAGGGGUUGCGCUCGUUGCCGGACUUAACCGAACACCUCACAGCACGAGCUGACGACAGCCAUGCAGCACCUGUCACCGAGCUCCCUCUUGCGAGGGCACUCCGACGUUUCCGCCAGAUUCUCGGGAUGUCAAGCCUGGGUAAGGUUCUUCGCGUUGCAUCGAAUUAAACCACAUGCUCCACCGCUUGUGCGGGCCCCCGUCAAUUCCUUUGAGUUUCAACCUUGCGGCCGUACUUCCCAGGCGGAGUGCUUAAUGCGUUAGCUUAGCCACCGAAGAGGUAAACAUCUCCGACAGCGAGCACUCAUCGUUUACAGCGUGGACUAC